This 2539-nucleotide long non-coding RNA is filed under the name Hordeum vulgare. Its description in RNAcentral is "long non-coding RNA (HVUL_LNC003987)". The record is from RNAcentral. Lineage: Eukaryota; Viridiplantae; Streptophyta; Magnoliopsida; Poales; Poaceae.
UCCCUGCAUUCUGAUUACCAAGCAUACAAACAAAGCAUUUUUCAUGAUAAACAACCAAGGCAACCAAUAUAUAUAUCAAACAAAUAAACAAAUAAAAAUGAGUUAUUCCUAGAGUCUCAUGGUUGAGCUUUCGUUAGCAUGGCAUAUGUAUGGAAGAAAAAUUAGUUUGCAUUUCAACUUAAGGGAAAACUAUAAAAGCCACUUAGAAAUAUUUGCUUUGUAGAAAUAACAUUGUCUCUAAAUGUUGAUUAACUUUUGUUUCGGUUGAGAAUCGGGCACCUUCUAGGUCAAGAAAAUUGGGCAUGCCCUUUGCUAAUUUUCUUGACCUAGGAGUGCCCCAUUCUCAACCAAAACAGAAAUUAAUGGACAUUUCAGGAGAAAGGGGUAACUAUUUGUCCCUGCACAAAUCGGGUACCCAUUACUAUUUAUCGACAGUGAUUACACUCUCCAGAUCAAGACGCAUUUCAAGGGCAUUGGUGUCCAUGCGGAUAUAAAAUACAUGUCAUCCAUGUCAUCUACAGCCUGCUCAUAUUAUAAUUUCAAGAUGCUGCCCUGCGUAGGUCCAUGGAGCAUUUGCUGGGUUCAGCGGCAUCACUUCCUGCAUCUGCAACACUCACUAUGUGUACCUUCUGGUUACGCAAGUCAAAACGGCGCCGAAGCGUGUGAACCACAAGGGCAGGAUGUGGCAGCAUUGCCUCACGUCCACAAGCGAGCCGGACUUCCGCUGACCACCUAUUGUUAUAGAAUUUGAACUUUAAGUGCUACGGAAUUUUGGCGUUAAGUUUUUGCCUUGUGCAAUCAGUUCAGUUUUUCUCUUUGUGUAAUAAAUUAAGUUGUUCAGUGUUAAGUACUAGAGAAUCUGAGUGCCGUGCUACAUAAUUAGUCGAGCUUUUGCUUGUGCAAUCAGUUCAACUUUUACCUUCUGUAACCCCUGCUCUUUAUUUAUUUUCCUUCCUCAGCCAGUUCUGUUUUCCCGUUUUAAACUGACCGCAUUGUGAUUUUUGUGUGAUCAGUUCAGUCAGAAUUUAGAUGUCCAAUUUUUCCGUUGUCCAAUCAAUGUAGUUCUUCCUUGUAUAACCCGUUCAGUCAUUUAUAAUUUAAACUAAAAUCAUAACUCUUAUUUAUAUGUAAGCUAUGUUUGUCAAGAGGAGGGGCGGGGGUCUAAUUUUUGAUAGCUUUACCAAUAGACCAGCUAUUGUUAGCACGAGAAAUUCAACUUUUACAUGCAAGUAUGGCUUAGAGUUACCUAAAGUCAGUGUGAAGCAAGCACACAAACGCAUAUUAGGGAUGUACAAAAUAUUACCAACACUACAAAAUUAUAGUGUGGACCUUGGACACGGUAGAAUGUUCUAAUCAGCUAUCAGAUUAUACUUGAAUUAUCAUCCUUUUCUUUAAGAAAAAUGUAUAGAAGCUAGGAACAGCAGAUUACCUUCUUGUUUGUUCUACUGUGGAUGCCGAAGCAACUCCAAGCCCUCCAAUUGACAACGUCGAUGCCCUGUUCCAACUGCAAGUUCCAAAGGGAUGGGAUUAGAAUUUUAGUGAGUGUAAAAUGAAUAUGGAGCAGCAAAUCAAAUCAUUAGUUAGUUGUACAUCUAUCAUGGCAUAACACGGAAGGUGGAACCUGAAGAUCAAUCAGCUAAAAUGAAAAAAAGGAAAAACAAUCACUUUAAACGACAACAUUUUAGGCCUGGCCGUUGAAAUCAAAAACAAGCAGCGCAACCGUACCACCAUAUUCCCAAUCAUGAACAAGAUUUGGGACAUCUAGCACGCCAACAACACCACUAGUAGUACCAAUGUGCUGACAAUUUCGGCCGGUAUAAACCAAAACAAGGCUCCUGCUCUCUCAAAUCGCAAGUUACCACCGAGCUUUGGUUUCAGGUCAGGACGGCGCGGAUGAAACAACUUAAUCUCUUCCUUCUCAUAUAUCGCUGACCAUCGCGUGUUUCGCUGCUAACAUGUUUAAACCAGAAACAUUUGCUCGUCCGAAGAAGGAAGAAAUCAGACUACAAUUUGUACGCAUUUGCCCUACAAGCAGUACCACGAACAUCUACCAGGCAAAACCCUUCCGCAUGUGAAUGAACUUGAACAUGCGCCGGUGAAACCACGCAGCAAGCACUCAAUCGGGAAAUAAUCGUCGUUAUAUUCUCUCAAUUAUACCAAAUCUAGAGCGAGGCAGGAAAACAGGAAACGAAACUGAACAAACUGAGGAUGCAGGAGGAGUGAGGGAGGGGGAGGAGGGAAGACGUGGGGAGGAGGGAGGAGGGAGGGGGAGGGGUGGCUGCCUGCCUAUGGACUGGUCGCCGGCGUGGCUCCGGGGAGGGAGGCGCUGGUGGUGGUACGGAGGGAGGGAGGCGCCGCCGGGAUCCUGUACGGGCAACGGGGCCGCGGGGAGCUUCGGCACGCCGCGGCGGAGGGCCGGCCAGGAACGCUAGCUAGUUGUGGCGCUCGGGAUGGGCUCGGGUGGCGGCGGUGGCUUGCAAAGGAGAGACGAGUGAGGGGAGGGAAUGAAAGAAGGGAAGGAGUAGGAUAAUGCCGCGGG